CUAAGAGGCAAAAUGGCAGACUUUAACUGUUGACAUGACCUCCUUGGAACAUUCAGACUGAGAACUACCUGUAAUUGGAGCGAAAAAAAUCUUCUUUUGGAAACUCCUUAAGAUAAAGUCUGCCUUACUGCACCCUAUUGAGGUGAGGAUUUCUUCAGAAGAUCCCACAGUUCUGGAGGCUGGAGAGUCCAAGGUCAGGAGGCUACAUCUGCUUGGCAUCUGUUGGUUGGAAUGUGGGUAUGGUUGCUGGAGGUGAAAUAGCAAUUCUGAACCAGGAGCACAUUUUGGAAAUGAGGACACCACUGCACAACAACAGAGUAAAAGAAGUCUGUGUCCUGAAACCGUGAAACACCAUUCCAGUCCUGUAGCUCCUGCCUUAUUUUAACAAGAGACAGAAAGAAAUUCCUAUUUUACCUAAG
Long non-coding RNA from Gorilla gorilla gorilla (western lowland gorilla), 419 nucleotides. RefSeq lists it as uncharacterized. The transcript has 4 exons. Lineage: Eukaryota; Metazoa; Chordata; Mammalia; Primates; Hominidae. The record is from RefSeq and is a predicted model, not a curated record.